CUGUCAUCUUCUCCAAGCCUUGUGUGGGCAUCUAUGUUGUCACCUGACCUCUCCCCAAUCCUGGUCUUGUAGGAAGCCCUGGUCAGUUUCAGGACACCACACAGGAGUGGGAUCCUGUGUUUGCUGGGCACUGUUCCACCAAUCACAUCAAAGGUGGGAGGAGCUAUCCAGCCUCCAGUUCAGGACAACCUUGAGUCAAAUAAGUAUAACAGCCUCCUAGACCUGGCAAAGAGCACUGCUUAGGGCCCAUUGUCACCAUGAGGCUUAUCUCUUGAGGCCAAGUCCCCUUUGGGAAGUUUGAGUAGGCCUAGAAAGGCCUGGUCCAUCAAGGGUCCUGCUUGGGCUGCGCCUGUAAGGCCUGGUCUGUCCUUUCCCUGCUCUGCAGAAAUGACAGCGCAGGGAACAGGCUGGGAUGACUCUGAACCCCUUUUAGGAAGUCAGACAGGAACCACCUACACAAAGUUUGCACAGCUUUUCUCUUGAGUCGGCAGCCUGUGACCAGGAAGAGCAUGGCACCUAUCCCUCACAGCCCCUAGUGCUGGGCUCCUACCCAGGAUCCUGUUCAUAUAGCACCUUGCAAUUCCAGGCUUUACUCUACUAGGGACCCACUCCCAUAGAGCCGCAUUCCCACUGGACCUUGUUCCCAUGGGGCUCUACUCCUUAUAGGGUCCUGAUCUUAGAGAAUGAGACUCCCAAAGGUCCCAUACCAACUGUGCCUGCACUCCUAAGAGUCCCACUCCUACACUGGCCUUCCCCCAGCUCCUCCCCUCUGCAUGAAAGGUCACUUUGAAACACCCCCAUAUUUCUUACCUGGCCCUGAUGUUCCUGAGGCCCCUCUCUCUCCCUCAUGGGUAAGAAGCUGUGCGGACAAGGGAUAGUAGUGAUCCCUGCCUAGAACAGCUUGUUCUUUGCAUGAAAGACAAAGAAGGUGGACGUGGGCAGAUUUCUGACCCACUUGUGGGUCAUUUAGAACAGGUAUUUGGAGUCACAAGAUGGUACCAGCUGUACCCAUAAGGCUUUCUCUUCCUUGGCUGGGAUCCAAGAGACCCUGGCAGGUUGUUUAUGGUCUAAGGAGGAUCAGCCCUUCCCUCCUUCCACACCCACAUGUUCUGCUGCACUCCUCAGGGAGGUAUGUUGGCCAGGUGGAUUGUGAAGAAACAGGUUUCUGAACAAGCUUCAACAGUAGCCACUACUCAGUCAGGCUUUGUCCCUCUGGAGCCCCAAUGGCUGCUGGGAUGGGUCCUUGUUGGGCUCUGUGGCUGAUGUUCACCCUACCCCAAAUCCCGGAGGGUCAGACUCCAACCAUGCCUCGAGGCUUUCCUCAGAUGACGAGCUUCCAAAGCAACCAGGUACAGAGCUUUCAAAGGAGAAGAAACAGGGUACAGCUGGCUACAGUCUGGCUUGUGGAGGGCGGGUGUAUGCAGGCCUGUGGGCAUUACACAGGGAGGCCGUGGCAGAACCUGAACCCAGAGUCCCUGAGUAGUCCAUGAGUCCAGCAGAAAAGGCCCUAGAAGUGCCUGCCUGUACCUCCUGUGUUUACAGUAGCUGCUCCCUCUAUGAACAGAGGCAAUCAGAAGCUUGGGAAGGUCACUUGACCAAGGCCACCCUCUACUGACCAGAUUAAAGGCAAAUUCAGGGUUCUGCCAGCAUCACUGAUGUAGACCUGGCCUGCAGCUGCCUACUGAGGAGGGGUCCUAGCUGGCUGUGGGCUGCCUGGGGUAGGGUGGGAAGAGGCUGGCUGUGCCUAUCACCAGCCAUGCAGUUUCAGGGGGAGUGGUUUGUUCUCGGUUUGGCGGGCAACUCCUACAAGAGAGAGGACCGGGCCUUGCUGAAUCCCUUCAUCACACUGUUCGAGCUAAAAAACAACAAUCAGUUUAAGGUGACCAACUCCAUGACUCGGUGAGUGGGGUGUCUCUGCUGUCCCAGCAGCAAAGGACCAGGGCUGCUUGAGCUUUGCAUGGGCCAGCAACACUGUGGAUUGAGGAACCAUAUCUAGAGACCAUGUCUAGCACAGCCUGCUUAUUGUCCAUUGCCAAAGCCAACUAGUUAAUAUGACACCCAACCCAGGGAGGGUAUGGUGACUCGCCCUGGAGGCAGAAAACCAAUGGGUUUUAGGUUCUCUUGUGUAGUCAGGGAUCCCUUUCUCAGGCCCUGUCUUGGUUCUGUGUUACCUUGGUCUCCUGGGCAAGUUCUUGUUUUCUCAGAAACACUUUUUUUCUUUAACAUAGCAAGUCCCUGUAGAUUUGAGUACCUGUGCUGGGGUGAGCAGGAGUCAUUCUUAUGGCACUGGGUCAGGCCCCUAGGAAGGGCACAGAGUAGCUUAAAGGACCCUAGAGCUGAAGCCUGGGAAACAGGAGAGGGAUCCAGUUCUCUGCAUUCUUCUGGGAUGAGUCUCCUCCAAAUGAAGAACUGAACUUUUAUUAUGGGUCCACCAGGGUGGGUCUGGAUGGCUUCCUUAGCCUUCUGCCCCAAACCAGCCCCUGCCUGUCCUUCCCACAGGGGCAAGCACUGCAACACUUGGUCCUAUACCCUGAUCCCAACAACCAAGCCUGGGAAGUUCAUCAUAGGCAAUAGAGGUAGAAACUGGAGGCUUCCUCAUAAGACAAUAGACAGGUUCAUCUGUCUGACAAGAACAAAAAACCUCACAAAGAAUAACUUCGUCUUCCCUGAUGUAACUGACUGGUUACCUGAUCCAAAACUCUGCUGAAGAAUGACACGGUUCCUGCCAGUAGAGCCUCAUGCUGCCUCUGCUUUCAACACAAAUAAACUCACUGCCUAUGACU
This is an RNA transcript of Meriones unguiculatus (Mongolian gerbil), 2783 nucleotides long. It is a transcript of the gene named lipocalin 12, with no coding region annotated. Lineage: Eukaryota; Metazoa; Chordata; Mammalia; Rodentia; Muridae. The record is from RefSeq and is a predicted model, not a curated record. The transcript is spliced from 3 exons.